CCUACGGGAGGCUGCAGUGGGGAAUAUUGCACAAUGGGGGAAACCCUGAUGCAGCGACGCCGCGUGAGUGAAGAAGUAUUUCGGUAUGUAAAGCUCUAUCAGCAGGGAAGAAGAAAGACGGUACCUGACUAAGAAGCCCCGGCUAACUACGUGCCAGCAGCCGCGGUAAUACGUAGGGGGCAAGCGUUAUCCGGAUUUACUGGGUGUAAAGGGAGCGUAGACGGCAGUGCAAGUCUGGAGUGAAAGGCGGGGGCUCAACCCCCGGACUGCUCUGGAAACUGUACGGCUGGAGUGCAGGAGAGGUAAGUGGAAUUCCUAGUGUAGCGGUGAAAUGCGUAGAUAUUAGGAGGAACACCAGUGGCGAAGGCGGCUUACUGGACUGUAACUGACGUUGAGGCUCGAAAGCGUGGGGAGCGAACAGGAUUAGAUACCCGUGUAGUC
This 441-nucleotide ribosomal RNA is filed under the name uncultured bacterium. RNAcentral describes it as "partial 16S ribosomal RNA". It matches the Rfam family "Bacterial small subunit ribosomal RNA", at positions 338 to 795 of the family's 1533-position model. The record is from RNAcentral.